RNAcentral lists this ribosomal RNA (386 nucleotides) under Vacrothele uncata. RNAcentral describes it as "partial large subunit ribosomal RNA". It matches the Rfam family "Bacterial large subunit ribosomal RNA", at positions 1930 to 2604 of the family's 2925-position model. Lineage: Eukaryota; Metazoa; Arthropoda; Arachnida; Araneae; Macrothelidae. The record is from RNAcentral.
GCCGCGGUCACCCGUGCUAAGGUAGCAUAAUCAUUUGCCUCUUAAUUAGAGGCUAGUAUGAAAGGUUUAACAUGCCGCUUCUUUUAUUAUUUUAAUUACUUUAACUUCUCUUGUAAGUAAAAAGACUUACAUUUUUAGGGGGACGACAAGACCCUGUUGAACUUCACUUAAAGUUUAGCUGGGGUGGCUAAAAACCAAAUCUUUUUUUCUCCUCAAAACCUAACCCUUUUUCAAAGGAUCACCAAGUUACCACAGGGAUAACAGCAUAAUUUAUUCCUAAAGCUCUUAUUAAAGAAUAAGAUUGUGACCUCGAUGUUGAAUUAAUAUUCUUUUAGAAGCAAAAUUCUAGAAAGAAAGUCUGUUCGACUUUUAAAUAAUUACAUGAU